Molecule: long non-coding RNA, 2428 nt
Organism: Triticum aestivum (bread wheat)
Lineage: Eukaryota; Viridiplantae; Streptophyta; Magnoliopsida; Poales; Poaceae
Exons: 3
Source: RefSeq, a predicted model, not a curated record
GCCGCCGCCACCCCUGUCCAUUCCCUACCUUUCUUCCUCGGUAUCCCCUUAUUCCUCCCAGAUCCAAUCCACCAGCCACUGCUCUCCAUCGCAUCACAACAUCGACCAACCACCGCACAGCCAGCCACCUCCCUGACCCAGCGCUCGAUCCAGAUGGGAUUGAGGCAACCACCGGUGUCCUCCUCGACGCCUCCCCUCGCGUUGUGCCGCCAGCCUCCUCUCCGGCCAGUCCCGUCCCCUGCUCCUACCCUUCGCCAUGGCCGCCCUGAGCUCCAGCCAUGGACAGCCGCUGCCGGAGCUCGUCUUCCCCGCCGUCGGCUAGAGCCCUAGGCCAGUGACCCAAGCCUCUUCCUUCCUUCCCUUUUCCCUCACGCACUCUCUUCCUCCUCCAUGACCUCUCUAUCUUCCUUGACGCCAUGGAAAGGAGCACUCAACCGUGGUACAGUCGACUCCGGUCCGUCCAGCGACCUCCGUGCCUCGUCGCCGAUCAGAUUCGUGCCUCCUCCGUCGUUUCCCACGCCGGACCCCGCUACUGCCUCCCCUGCUUCUGCUGCGCGAGGACGACGACGCAUCCAGCAAGCGCCCGCUCAUCCCAGCCACGUUGACCGCCUCCCUCCGAACUCACCGGCGUCACCACGGAGCUUCCCCGACCUCUCCUUCACUCUGACCCACGUCUCUGGUGGCCUUGUCGUCGUCGUCACCUAGGAGCUCGUCCGUUUCCCGAGAUCUCCACCGACCGCGCCCUUCGACGGGAACCACGUCGUCCGGCUCGUCCCGCCUCCUGCGGGCCUCCCCGUCGCCUGCCGGAGUUCCUGCUGCCGCCAUCGUCGUUCGAGGCUAGUGCCUCUGCUUCGAACCAGGGUGCCGACGCCUCCAGCGCCUGCGUUGACCGAGCACAGCCUAGCCGACCCAGUUCGCCUCUGCCUCACAGGGCCAAGCCCAUGGUUGCAGGUACAGGUAAUGCGGUGAUCUCACGUGAGAGCGAGGCUUGAUUGCUUUUGGAGUUCUUCUUCUUCGAUCAAGGGAUAGGUUCCGGGUCGAGGAGCCUGGGCUAGCAGGGUGGAUGUCGUUCUUCCAUUUCGUUUGAUUUCAUACGUAGUCGGAUCCUGCUCUUCUGUAUGACGAUUGCUAUGUAUUGAUGAACUAUUGUAUUCAUGAUGUAGCUUGUGGCGAGUGUAAGCCUUUAUCUUGUAUUCUCACCUAUUCAGUACAUGGUAUGUGUAAUAAUAUCCACCUUGCUAUGCGCUCGAAAUGCGGUUGUGCCUCAAUCAUGAAUUCAUCACGUGAUUGGGAUAGAAUCGCAUCUUGGGUGUUACACCUGAGCACAGAUGCCGUGCCAGUCCUUAAUCAUGAGGCGGUCGUGGGUCGGCUCACAAGGGCAUACGACCUUCAUGGCGAUGAAGCACCGGGCAAACAGACGAUAAUCAUAAAGCAACUCAUGGAGUAAGGUAAAGCCAGUUCUGAUAGACGCAAGAAGGAUGCAUGCCACAAGGACGGACCCAUACGGCUUGGGGAUGAUGCAGCCCGAGGGGCACCCCCAACUGAACAAACCAAGAGAUGUCACCUGGCACCGUUGCUAAAGAGGUAUUGGAGUAGCCGGAGACGCGUGCUGCAGAAGUUGCUCCUCAUGAGUCGCCCAGGCCCUUAACCUCGGGAGGCUCUGGAGGCCUGGGGGCUCGCGAGAAUCCGUCGCCGUCUCCGCCAGGAUCGCCUGGUGCCUGGCCUGCUGAGCCGCUAGGAUGCCCCACAUGUGGCGCUGGUGCAUGACAGCCCUGCUCAGGAGACCGGAAGGCAUGGGAACGUAGCUGUGAGGGGGACCCUCACGCCGGCUAACGCGGGACGGCCAGAAGAGCCUCUGAGACGUGGUCCUGUUGAGCCCAGGGAUGUUGAUGCAGGUGCGUAGCUCACUAUCCUCGCCGGGGCAGGGAGCUGCACCGGGUGAUGGGCGACAGUCGCCCCGCAUAGCUCUCGCCUCCUGAAGCUCCUCGAUUACCUUGGUGAUGAACUCCUGAGCAUCUGGCGCCUUGCGCUCCGUGCUUUCCUCAUGGAAGCACGCGUUGAAGCAUGCCUCCACAUGGUGCCCGAGCGCCUCCCUCGAGACGUUGGCCAGGUCUGAGGCUCUCCAGAGGAAAGCCCCCGAGCCCAUCCUGGAGGGGCGCCGGGCGCGCCUUCCUAUGCAAAAGAGGAAGGCACCCCAUCAGUGGGCGCAGGGCUUGAGGCAGCGCCGCUGGACGCCCCGCCCUCCUAAGGUCCUUGGCGAAGCAACUUCUUCUUCUUGGGUGUGUCCUAAGGAGGGUAGACAGCGCCCUUGAUACGUCUCCAACAUAUCUAUAAUUUUUUAUUGUUCCAUGCUAAUAUAUUAUCUGUUUUGGAUGUUUAAUGGGCUUUAAUAUGCACUUUUUAUUAUUUUUGGGACUAACCUAUUAAC